Molecule: long non-coding RNA, 367 nt
Organism: Myotis brandtii (Brandt's bat)
Lineage: Eukaryota; Metazoa; Chordata; Mammalia; Chiroptera; Vespertilionidae
Exons: 2
Source: RefSeq, a predicted model, not a curated record
ACACCGUGACUUGCUUCCAAGGAAUAGAAUAUGACAGAAGUGAUGUGAUGUCACUUCCAAGAUUAGUUGGGCCUGGUCUCUCACUCUCCAAUCAACCAGCCGCCGGGUCACCAGAACACUUAGGCAGCCUAAGGCGAGCAUGACCGGGAACGGAAGCCUGCCAACAACCACGGUCAGCACAGAGAAAGAAGAAAUUCCACGGUGGACCACAGCCGCAGCUCCUACCUGAGAGUUCCAGCCUGCCACCUGCCUAAUAGAUUUUGGACUCAUCUAGCCAGCCCCCCACAAUGAUGUAGUUCCUUGUAAUAACUCAAGAAUGUCUAGCUACAUCUAAAACUAACCUGUAUAUUAAAAAGUAUAUAUAAAA